AACGAACGCUGGCGGCAGGCUUAACACAUGCAAGUCGAGCGAAGACUUCGGUCUUAGCGGCGGACGGGUGAGUAACGCGUGGGAACGUACCCUUUACUUCGGAAUAGCCUCUGGAAACGGAGAGUAAUACCGAAUGUGCCCUUUGGGGGAAAGAUUUAUCGGUAAAGGAUCGGCCCGCGUUAGAUUAGGUAGUUGGUGGGGUAAUGGCCUACCAAGCCUACGAUCUAUAGCUGGUUUGAGAGGAUGAUCAGCCACACUGGGACUGAGACACGGCCCAGACUCCUACGGGAGGCAGCAGUGGGGAAUCUUGGACAAUGGGGGCAACCCUGAUCCAGCCAUGCCGCGUGAGUGAUGAAGGCCUUAGGGUCGUAAAGCUCUUUCGCCAGGGAUGAUAAUGACAGUACCUGGUAAAGAAACCCCGGCUAACUCCG
This 431-nucleotide ribosomal RNA is filed under the name uncultured Paracoccaceae bacterium. RNAcentral's name for it is "bacterial SSU rRNA". It matches the Rfam family "Bacterial small subunit ribosomal RNA", at positions 29 to 505 of the family's 1533-position model. Lineage: Bacteria; Pseudomonadati; Pseudomonadota; Alphaproteobacteria; Rhodobacterales; Paracoccaceae. The record is from RNAcentral.